Molecule: ribosomal RNA, 465 nt
Filed under: uncultured bacterium
Lineage: Bacteria
Description: partial 16S ribosomal RNA
Rfam family: Bacterial small subunit ribosomal RNA
Source: RNAcentral
CCUACGUGAGGCAGCAGUAGGGAAUCUUCCACAAUGGGCGAAAGCCUGAUGUCUCCCCGCCGCUUUUUUUCCUCCUUUCUUCUUCUCUUCCCCCCCUUUUUUUCUCUAAGAACGUGCGUGAGAGUAACUGUUCACGUUUCGACGGUAUCUAACCAGAAAGCCACGGCUAACUACGUGCCAGCAGCCGCGGUAAUACGUAGGUGGCAAGCGUUAUCCGGAUUUAUUGGGCGUAAAGGGAACGCAGGCGGUCUUUUAAGUCUGAUGUGAAAGCCUUCGGCUUAACCGGAGUAGUGCAUUGGAAACUGGGAGACUUGAGUGCAGAAGAGGAGAGUGGAACUCCAUGUGUAGCGGUGAAAUGCGUAGAUAUAUGGAAGAACACCAGUGGCGAAAGCGGCUCUCUGGUCUGUAACUGACGCUGAGGUUCGAAAGCGUGGGUAGCAAACAGGAUUAGAUACCCCAGUAGUC